GCAUCUCCUGCUAGGCAGGUGGAUUCUUUACCACUGAGCCACCUGGGAAGCCCUAGAGGUACCUGGAGUAUUCAAAUUCAUGGAGACAGAAAAUAUAAUGGUAUUUGCCAGGGGCUGGAAGGAAGAGGGGAUGGAGAGUUUUUGUUUAAUAAGUGGGUGCGGAGUUUCAGCUUAGGAAGAUGACAAACGUUCCUGAGAUGGAUGGUGGUGGUUGCACAACAAUGUGAAUGCACCUAAUGCCACCGAACUGUACACUUAAAAAUGAUUCAAAUGGCCAAUUUUGUUAUGUAUAUUUUGCCACAAUAAAAAUAUAUAUUUGCUAAGGCUAAAGUCGUUAUAAGAUUAAGGGAAAUGUAUAUGUGCUAGUUCUGUCAUUUGCAAGCUGUGUCACCAGAGGAAGUCAGUUAACCUCCCUGUGUCUCCAUUUCUUUGUUUCCUCAUCUGUAACGUGGGAUAGUAUUAGUACCUAUCUUAUGGGAUUGUUGUAAGAAUUAAAUGACAGAGUACCUGAAAGUUUAGAAUAGGCCUUGGAACAAAUAUGCUCAAGAAAUGUUACUUAUUAUCAUUUUUGCAGACCCCUAGCUAUAAUACCACCACAUUUAUAUUUUGUGAAAAGAAUCUAUACACUUGUAUGAGAGUGUAUGUGUGUGUGUGUUAGUGCACACGUGUGCAUGCAACUAAUAUACUUACUCAUGCAUCCAUCAUAUAUUUAUCAAAUACCUUCUUUUCAUCAGACAUUGUGCUACAGGUUGGGCAGAGAGUGGUGAGCCUGGAUUGUUGGGGUAGAGAAUGGUGGUAACAAUGAGGCUCCUGUUUAAACAGAGAUGUUUCAGGCUGCCUCUCUGAGCCGGUGACAGUCCUAAGUAGAUCGUGAGUCCUGAAGGGGCUAGCCACAAAAACUAGAAGAGCUUUCCUGACAAAAGAAGCAUAAUGCUGCAAGAUCCCAAGUUUGAAGGCUCUUUGUACAUGGGUUAAGAGGAAGAGUAGUGUGAGAGGUGGCUGGAAUGUACAUAGAAAAUUCUAGAAAGAUAGGGAAGGAACUGUUCUGAGUGGUUUCUGCUAGGGAGUGGGACUCAGGGAGGUGUGGGGAGGAGGGUAUGUAGCAGAGAAAAGUAAUUCCACUUUUUACCUCAUUCCCUUCCACAUAGUUUGAAUUACUUGACAUAGCAUGUAUCUAAUCAAUAGGGGGGAAAGCUGGUUAGUAAAAAAUUGAGGAAUUUUCAUGAUUAAUAGUAAGGCAUCUAAUAACCUUUCCUUCUUUCAAGAAUCACCUCAUCUCAACUCUCCUCUCAGUUACUUUCCAUGCAUCAAGAGAGUAAUGUCAUUGGCCUAAAGUGGCCUUCUCCUCCUAUAGUAUUCAGCCAUCUCUUUUUGAGCCGCUAAUAACUUUUUUCAAUUCCUUCAGUGAAACCCUUUAAUCAUCUCUGCUUCUGGGACUAUGUUUACUUUUUUUUUUAAGGACCUUUCAAAUUCAUGUAGGAUUCUUACUUUGUUGUCACUGCAAUGGCAGAUGCACCCAGAGGCAGGUGCUCAAUGUUUUGGCCACUUGAAGCAGGAGGGGAGGGGGGAUGAGGACAGAGGGGCUGAGGGAGCAGGAAGAAAUAAAGCAGUGGGCCUGCCAAAUGAAUUCCAGAGGCUCUCUGGGGCUGCAUGCGUCCCUUUCUGUACCUCUGCCAGGGUGCUCAGCACCUUGUCUAAGUUGGGCAGGACUGAGAGUUUCUCUGUAGACUGAGCAUUCAGAAAGGCAGAAAGCUUUGCCUUAGCCAAACAGAAUUCCAGCAGUGCUAAGACCGCUUAGACUCAAACCUGUGAGUCAAGAUAACUGACGAUGUGUUCUACGAUGGAUCUCAAAACAGCCCGAGGCGGUGGUGUGGACAGGAGUUUUGAUCUGGAAGUCUCCUGGCAUCCUCCAUCCUCUAAAGUGAGCCGGAGCCAGAAAGGAGGAAAACAGAGCAUCUGAUCCAUUCUCGGCCGGCCUGUCUUGCUGAUAAUGUCGUUGGCUACAUGGCAACAGGAGAAAUAAGGUACUAAACACAGAAUUCAGAGUCCAUUGGAAAGGUGGCCGAGCUUGAUCAGCAUGAACAGGCCUAAUAUGGAGUCCAGGCCCUAUGAAUUCCUUCUUCAUGCCAACUAUGAGUAAUGAUAUUAGUAAUAAACUAGUAUUUAUUGAGUGUU
Molecule: long non-coding RNA, 2175 nt
Organism: Bubalus bubalis (water buffalo)
Lineage: Eukaryota; Metazoa; Chordata; Mammalia; Artiodactyla; Bovidae
Exons: 2
Source: RefSeq, a predicted model, not a curated record